RNAcentral lists this ribosomal RNA (460 nucleotides) under uncultured bacterium. RNAcentral describes it as "partial 16S ribosomal RNA". It matches the Rfam family "Bacterial small subunit ribosomal RNA", at positions 338 to 795 of the family's 1533-position model. The record is from RNAcentral.
CCUACGGGUGGCAGCAGUGAGGAAUAUUGGUCAAUGGGCGGAAGCCUGAACCAGCCAAGUAGCGUGCAGGAUGACGGCCCUACGGGUUGUAAACUGCUUUUAUACGGGAAUAACGCGCCUUACGUGUAGGGCUUUGCAUGUACCGUAUGAAUAAGGACCGGCUAAUGCCGUGCCAGCAGCCGCGGUAAUACGGAAGGUCCGGGCGUUAUCCGGAUUUAUUGGGUGUAAAGGGAGCGUAGGCGGGAUGUCAAGCGUGCUGUGAAAUGUCCGGGCUCAACCCGGGGCUUGCAGCGCGAACUGGCGUGCUUGAGUGCGCGGAAGGCAGUCGGAAUUCGGCGUGUAGCGGUGAAAUGCUUAGAUAUCACGAAGAACACCGAUGGCGAAGGCAGCCUGCCGCAGCGUUACUGACGCUGAAGCUCGAAAGCGCGGGUAUCGAACAGGAUUAGAUACCCGUGUAGUC